RNAcentral lists this ribosomal RNA (254 nucleotides) under uncultured bacterium. RNAcentral's name for it is "partial 16S ribosomal RNA". It matches the Rfam family "Bacterial small subunit ribosomal RNA", at positions 524 to 776 of the family's 1533-position model. The record is from RNAcentral.
CACGUAGGGGGCAAGCGUUGUCCGGAUUUAUUGGGCGUAAAGAGCUCGUAGGUGGUUCGGUAAGUCGGGUGUGAAACCUCCAGGCUCAACCUGGAGACGCCACCCGAUACUGCUGUGACUGGAGUCCGGUAGGGGAGCGUGGAAUUCCUGGUGUAGCGGUGAAAUGCGCAGAUAUCAGGAGGAACACCAGCGGCGAAGGCGGCGCUCUGGGCCGGUACUGACACUGAGGAGCGAAAGCGUGGGGAGCGAUCCGG